This is a non-coding RNA of Theobroma cacao (cacao), 680 nucleotides long. The record is from RefSeq and is a predicted model, not a curated record. NCBI's taxonomy places the organism in Eukaryota, Viridiplantae, Streptophyta, Magnoliopsida, Malvales, Malvaceae.
UUUUAUCCCUAUGUUCUUGACAAAUUUGAGGUUUUCUUGGAACAAUCUUGUGUUAGCAACUGUGAUCAACAAGCAUGGCAUCAACCUCAAAUUUCUUCAGACUAGCUAGCCUGUUCUGUUUAAUGCAUUUCUUGUAUUCUUCUAAACUAAAAAGUUGAAGAAAGAAGAGCUGUAUUUUCAGAUAUGACGAAAACUAGACAGCCCUGUGUUAACAUGUGGAUUAUGUCCUCUGCUUCACGCUACUUUGGACAUUUAGUUAGUUUUACUUCUGAACUCAUGGUAUACUUGCAUUGAUUUUAUAGUAUGUUUGUUUGGACAUUUAAGCUGCAAUCGGCAUCCUUCCCUGAAAUGUGAAAGGCAAUGAUGGCAUCAAGUACUUGCAUAACAGGCAUUAGUUGUUGUCCAAAUGGAGAAGAUGCCAGCAGCCAGCAUGUAUAUUCUGUUUCAUCAUAAAAGGGAUGUUGAAAUUGCUUCACUGCCAGCAGCUUAAGGAAUUGUUCUUCUUGUGGAUUCUAGAGGAAGAGUGGACAGAAUUUCACCUAACUUUUACAUGUUCUGUUGGAAAAUUGACAGCCAUGUGAUGAAAUGAAAUAGUCAUAGAAAGAGUUUUCAAAGUUAUUGAGAUGUACUAUCAGAGUUUGGACUUUGAAGAUCUCAGUAACUCUCAAAACUUCACAAAG